UUGCUUUGGCAGCAUGUAUACUAAAAUUGAAAUGAUACAGAGAAGAUUAGCAUGGCCCGUGCACAAGGAUGACAUGGAAAUUUGUGAAGCAUUCCAUAUUUUU
Molecule: small nuclear RNA, 103 nt
Filed under: Physeter macrocephalus (sperm whale)
Lineage: Eukaryota; Metazoa; Chordata; Mammalia; Artiodactyla; Physeteridae
Source: RNAcentral